GAUGAACGCUGGCGGCGUGCCUAAUACAUGCAAGUCGAGCGAACAGACGAGGAGCUUGCUCCUCUGACGUUAGCGGCGGACGGGUGAGUAACACGUGGAUAACCUACCUAUAAGACUGGGAUAACUUCGGGAAACCGGAGCUAAUACCGGAUAAUAUAUUGAACCGCAUGGUUCAAUAGUGAAAGACGGUUUUGCUGUCACUUAUAGAUGGAUCCGCGCCGCAUUAGCUAGUUGGUAAGGUAACGGCUUACCAAGGCAACGAUGCGUAGCCGACCUGAGAGGGGGAGCGGCCCCCAGGGAGCGGAGCACCGGCCCAGCACCCAAGGGGGGGCAGGAGUAGGGAAUCUCCCGCAAGGGGGGAAAGCCGGACGAGGCAACGCGGCGGGAGGAAGGAAGGUCUUGGGAUCGUAAAACCCUUUUAUUGGGGAAAAAAAAAUGGGUAAUUAACAAGCCCCGUUUGAACGGAACCUAAAAAGAAAGCCCCGCCUAACUCGGG
This 496-nucleotide ribosomal RNA is filed under the name uncultured bacterium. RNAcentral describes it as "partial 16S ribosomal RNA". It matches the Rfam family "Bacterial small subunit ribosomal RNA", at positions 28 to 506 of the family's 1533-position model. The record is from RNAcentral.